RNAcentral lists this ribosomal RNA (757 nucleotides) under uncultured archaeon. RNAcentral's name for it is "bacterial SSU rRNA". It matches the Rfam family "Archaeal small subunit ribosomal RNA", at positions 102 to 859 of the family's 1478-position model. The record is from RNAcentral.
GGAUAAUCUACCCUUAGGACCGGGAUAACCCUGGGAAACUGGGGAUAAUACUGGAUAGGCAAUUAUUCCUGUAAUGGUUUUUUGUUUAAAUGUUUUUUCGCCUAAGGAUGAGUCUGCGGCCGAUUAGGUAGUUGGUUAGGUAAUGGCUUACCAAGCCGUUGAUCGGUACGGGUUGUGAGAGCAAGAGCCCGGAGAUGGAACCUGAGACAAGGUUCCAGGCCCUACGGGGUGCAGCAGGCGCGAAACCUCCGCAAUGUGAGAAAUCGCGACGGGGGGAUCCCAAGUGCCAUUCUUAACGGGAUGGCUUUUCAUUAGUGUAAAGAGCUUUUGGAAUAAGAGCUGGGCAAGACCGGUGCCAGCCGCCGCGGUAACACCGGCAGCUCUAGUGGUAACAAUUUUUAUUGGGCCUAAAGCGUCCGUAGCCGGUUUAAUAAGUCUCUGGUGAAAUCCUGCAGCUUAACUGUGGGAAUUGCUGGAGAUACUAUUAGACUUGAGACCGGGAGAGGUUAGAGGUACUCCCAGGGUAGAGGUGAAAUUCUGUAAUCCUGGGAGGACCGCCUGUUGCGAAGGCGUCUAACUGGAACGGUUCUGACGGUAAGGGACGAAAGUUAGGGGCGCGAACCGGAUUAGAUACCCGGGUAGUCCUAACUGUAAACGAUGCGGACUUGGUGUUGGGGUGGCUUUGAGCUGCUUCAGUGCCGAAGGGAAGCUGUUAAGUCCGCCGCCUGGGAAGUACGGUCGCAAGACUGAAACUUAA